Long non-coding RNA from Argiope bruennichi, 493 nucleotides. RefSeq lists it as uncharacterized. The record is from RefSeq and is a predicted model, not a curated record. The transcript is spliced from 3 exons. Lineage: Eukaryota; Metazoa; Arthropoda; Arachnida; Araneae; Araneidae.
AAAAAUUCACGCAUUUGCGUUACGUAAAAGGCGAAGAAAAUUCACGCAUGCGCACUGUGUUCUGAUCGUUGGCAUGGCAACCAUUAUCAACGGACGAUUUAAAUUACUUUUAGCAAAGGUUUUGGAAUCGCUUCCGUAGUCCACAUACAUGUUUUCCUGCAGCGUGCGUUUGAGUCACGUUGAAAAGCCGAUUUGCACCAAUUUCGGUCAUAUCCUUGCAACAAAUAUUAUCGCCUAUGUCACCGACUUGACAUGCCAUGCUCUUGACAGACCUCUCACAGUUGGUUACAAAAUAUGGAGAUUGCCCCUUUUGCAGAGCCAAGAUACAAUAUGGAAACUGAAAUAAAAUGCAUAUCAGUAGAUUGAAGAAAGUAUACCCUGCCAAUUAAUACAUCAGUGAUCAAGAGUGCUGUGUGGAUGUGAAUUAUUUCAUUGGAUUUUAUAUGAGAAGAUUAUUUUUCGCACAGAUAUUAAAAUUCAUGUUUUGAUUCUA